Molecule: long non-coding RNA, 326 nt
Filed under: Mytilus galloprovincialis (Mediterranean mussel)
Lineage: Eukaryota; Metazoa; Mollusca; Bivalvia; Mytilida; Mytilidae
Source: RNAcentral
GGUCUAUCUUGCUUCAUUCUUUAAUUUAAAGGACAUUUUUCUCUAUUUUAAAAAUUUUUGUGCCUACUAUUCUAUAUAUUUUAGCAAUCAAUUCUUCCUGUAUAAUUUUGGUCCUUAUUUCUAUUUUGUUUGUGCCGAUUAUUCUCUAUUUUGAAAAUUCCGAACCAGUCUUAGAUAUCGAUAAUUUGUUUGAAGGUAACUCACGUAUAUAUUAUUUUCUUUUGUAAUCUAAGAUGAAGUUUAAUAUAUAUUAUCGAAAAUAUUUAUUAUUUAAAUACACCUUUGGAAGUUUUCGUAAUUUUAUGAAGGGUUUUUCAAAAAGGCUG